RNAcentral lists this ribosomal RNA (253 nucleotides) under uncultured bacterium. Its description in RNAcentral is "partial 16S ribosomal RNA". It matches the Rfam family "Bacterial small subunit ribosomal RNA", at positions 524 to 776 of the family's 1533-position model. The record is from RNAcentral.
UACGUAGGGUGCAAGCGUUGUCCGGAAUUAUUGGGCGUAAAGGGCUCGUAGGCGGUCCGUCACGUCGGGAGUGAAAACUUGGGGCUUAACCCCAAGCCUGCUUCCGAUACGGGCGGACUAGAGGUAGGCAGGGGAGAACGGAAUUCCUGGUGUAGCGGUGAAAUGCUUAGAUAUGACACAGAACACCGAUUGCGAAGGCAGCUCGCUAAACUGUAACUGACGCUGAGGCACGAAAGCGUGGGGAUCAAACAGG